GAUGAACGCUGGCGGCGUGCCUAAUACAUGCAAGUAGAACGCUGAAGGAAGGAGCUUGCUCUUUCCGGAUGAGUUGCGAACGGGUGAGUAACGCGUAGGUAACCUGCCUGGUAGCGGGGGAUAACUAUUGGAAACGAUAGCUAAUACCGCAUAACAGUAGAUGUUGCAUGACAACUAUUUGAAAGGGGCAAUUGCUCCACUACCAGAUGGACCUGCGUUGUAUUAGCUAGUUGGUGAGGUAACGGCUCACCAAGGCGACGAUACAUAGCCGACCUGAGAGGGUGAUCGGCCACACUGGGACUGAGACACGGCCCAGACUCCUACGGGAGGCAGCAGUAGGGAAUCUUCGGCAAUGGACGGAAGGCUGAACGAGCAACGCCGCGUGAGUGAAGAAGGGUUUCGGAUCGUAAAGCUCUGUUGUAAGAGAAGAACGAGUGUGAGAGUGGAAAGUUCACACUGUGACGGUAUCUUACCAGAAAGGGACGGCUAACUACGUG
This 497-nucleotide ribosomal RNA is filed under the name uncultured bacterium. Its description in RNAcentral is "partial 16S ribosomal RNA". It matches the Rfam family "Bacterial small subunit ribosomal RNA", at positions 28 to 507 of the family's 1533-position model. The record is from RNAcentral.